RNAcentral lists this ribosomal RNA (404 nucleotides) under Actinomycetes bacterium. RNAcentral's name for it is "Actinobacteria bacterium partial 16S ribosomal RNA". It matches the Rfam family "Bacterial small subunit ribosomal RNA", at positions 355 to 776 of the family's 1533-position model. Lineage: Bacteria; Bacillati; Actinomycetota; Actinomycetes. The record is from RNAcentral.
UGGGGAAUCUUGCGCAAUGGGCGAAAGCCUGACGCAGCCAUGCCGCGUGAAUGAUGAAGGUCUUAGGAUUGUAAAAUUCUUUCACCGGGGACGAUAAUGACGGUACCCGGAGAAGAAGCCCCGGCUAACUUCGUGCCAGCAGCCGCGGUAAUACGAAGGGGGCUAGCGUUGCUCGGAAUUACUGGGCGUAAAGGGAGCGUAGGCGGACAUUUAAGUCAGGGGUGAAAUCCCGGGGCUCAACCUCGGAACUGCCUUUGAUACUGGAAGUCUUGAGUAUGGUAGAGGUGAGUGGAAUUCCGAGUGUAGAGGUGAAAUUCGUAGAUAUUCGGAGGAACACCAGUGGCGAAGGCGGCUCACUGGACCAUUACUGACGCUGAGGUGCGAAAGCGUGGGGAGCAAACAGG